AAAACAGAAAAAGGGUAAUCUCAAACAAGCUACAAUAUUGCUUUUAAUUGCUCAUAAUAGUGAAUAAAUCAAAACAUUCCAAAUACAAUCAAAUAAAGAUAACGGACCUCAUAUUGCUAGAACUCCGGGCAGAACUCGAACCAGACCGGAAUCACGAACAACGACUCGACACGGAACCACGACGAACAAUGACGACCUCACUUAAACCCAAACUGAUUUCGAUGAUUUAAGGUCUGUCCGUGUCGAUCAUCAGACUGAUUUACAGCUGGGAUUUUUGGCUUGGUUUGGACGUGUUUGUUGGCUGGCUCAGUACUUUCUUGGAGCUGAUUUUCAGAGCUCGUUUUGGGCUGGUUGACGUUGCUGUUUUACGAAGGAAGUUCAGGUCGUUUAGGACGUGAAGAUGGUCGACUAGUCGUGUGGCUGGUUGGAACGGAGAU
This 437-nucleotide long non-coding RNA is filed under the name Nicotiana benthamiana. RNAcentral's name for it is "long non-coding RNA (NBEN_LNC009729)". The record is from RNAcentral. Lineage: Eukaryota; Viridiplantae; Streptophyta; Magnoliopsida; Solanales; Solanaceae.